CCACUGGUCCCACUGGUCCAUUGCAGUGCCCCUCUGGGAUUUCCUUCACCCUUUCCUAUUCUUGGGGCAAUCGCAGCUUGUUCUCUGUGCUCUUGCAGCAGUCACUGGCAGUUGGCUGGAGAGCAACAUGUCAGGAAACCUUCAGGGCACAGUGGUGGUAAAGUCAUCUUCCAGUGCAACAUGAGAGGAAGCAGCAUAUACACAUAGUACAUGUUCUGGUCCAAGCAGAGGUCUCCGGGAUUUAUUGGGAGGGUGAUGAAUACGGAAGUUUCCAUAAUCACUGUAAGGGAGCAGUGGAGAGCUCCCCCAACAGAUUCCCACAGCAGACCCAGGCAGCAAAGAGAGGGGAUGAUGCAGUGUUUCACUGUGGUGCUAGGAUCACCCUGCAGCAGCUCUGCAGCAGUGGACUAAGAACUAAUGAUAGAAAAUCCAGAAUUCUCAGUGUUCCCUUGUAGCAGACACUGAUCAGAUGUGUCAUGCAAGAGCAGGUGCAGAAAACAGACCUUUCCCAAGCAUGUACUAAUAUCCAGUUGUUUUGGCAGUGGAGGAGGAGAGCACAAAGCUCACAAACACCAAAUGUGAAGCACGUUUAUCUUUUCUUAGGAAUAAAACAGUGAGAUAGUAAGUGAGACAAUACAGAAAGAAUAAAACAGAAGAAGGCUAUGCACUAUGUGCAGGCUAUUACUACGUGAGAUUAGCUGUAGUGAUAAGGAAGGUACAACAGCAAUUGCCCUAACCCUUCCUGGUUAUCCAGGUCCACCGUCUCUGGGGAUCCCCAGUUGCAGAGAGGAUUUGGGGAUCCUUUCCCAGUAAGUGGAAAUUCCUACGCAGUGCAUCUACGCAUAGGUGAGGUCUCCAACUUUGCUACAAGGGGAUGCAGACACUGUAUUCUUGAAUAAACAGAGGCAUGUGGAAAUUAGGCAGAAACUUCAUUCUCCCUUUUGGAUUCUGCCUCCAGCCUGGCCAGGGCUCAAGGACGAGCCAAGGAAUUUAGUCUACUAGUAGGCAGUGACACUCUGCUUCUAAAGAAGGAAAGGAUAAUACAUUCUCACAACGAUGUAUUAAUGAGUUCUCACAACGAUGCAUCAGUGAGAAAUAGUGAUCCCCACUAUUUUUCAACAGAGUCACCACUGUUAGCUAUGGAUUUCUACCAGCAGUGUACGGGAGCCUUCACUUCAUGCUUGUAAAUACUUGCACCAAUGGAGGCAGCCCACUGUUUCAUCGCUGCAAUGAUGGCACAGUUGACAGGGAAAUGUUGCCCACAACGUCCAUCCUUCGUCUGUCUGAACAGAGGGAAGAAAGAAGAUGCCAAUUCGGGACGAUCUGUUGUGAGUUUGCUAUUGGUAUUCCACAUCAUAACAUCAUGUACAGCACGGGUACCUAAAGAGUUAAUACUCCAGUUCUGUGGAUUGACAACCUUCCAGAUACUUGCUUCUCAAAAAAGAAGAACUACAUAUCCCAGAGGACCUGACGGUUGGAGAAGGAAGAUACGUGACGGAAGUCAUGGGAUCUGGCUCUUUCGACUGUCUCUCUCUGGCAUCCAGGCAGAGGGGUGGGUGUGCUUCCAAGUCGUGCGCCUUCAUUCAUUGCGCAUCACUAUCCCCACUGAGGACUGUGUCUUCAACUUUUUCUCCAAUAGAGAAUUCUCACGUUGCUACUCCAUGGGCUCUGUCUCUUUUGACUCCGGCUCAUAGUUCUGACGCCACAGCGCACCAAUGGUAAUGAUGUGAUCCAGGAAACUGUCACCGUGGACCCUAAAUGGGUUCAGUUGUUUCUUGCUAAUUUGCAUACCGUGUUGUUUCUGUUCCUGUGUGUGUGUUCGUGGGACCCACUGUGUGCAAACUUUGCUAUAUUCCGCCGUUGAUGCCAUUGUUUUCAAUGCACUGAAGCCAACGUUCAUCUCUGUAUGCAGUCCGCUGGUUGUAAUCCACUGAUUUGAGCAGAUGUGCUGAUCCAGACGCUCUUCAUUUUGCUGUGUGACAGCUGUGCAUUGCCAUCCAGAACAUAAGUGGCUUAUCAUUUACGUCCCUGUUGCCGCUGCUGAAAUGCAACUCCCAGUGCAUCUGCUGUUUGGCCUUCAGCAUCUGGGUGAGCAGGAAUGGAUGAAUGUCAGGGGGGUGCAAUUUUUUCCACACGGAAAUACCAAAAUCCACACCUUUGCUUCGUGUGGCCUUGAUUUGGAGAAGUAGGCCACAAUAUAUUUUUAUUGCGUUUUUAGAAAAGGCUGAUUUGAAAAAGUAGAGAUACCAUAUAUUUCAGUAGUGUUUUUUUAGAAAUACUGGUGUUGACUUGUUUUAUUAUGUGAUUGGUUCUUGCUUGCAAAACUGUAAUAGCUUUUAGAUGUUGUGAAUAGUUAUGCAUGUAGCAUUAUAUUACUAGGAAGCAUGUUGUAAGGCAGUUCUGUUUUGACAAGAGGCCUCAGCAGAAGAAACAUAAUAACGAAAGGCAGGGCCUCCACACCAGGCUGAAUUGUCUCACUCUGGGAUUAGGUUGAAAUGCAUCAGGCAGGUGUCAGCAUACUCUCCUCUGUCUUCCUUAUCUUCUAACACCCCAGUGUAUAUCAUUAAAAGUCAGGCUGCCAAGCUUAUCUUUAUCCAGGGGCGAGCAGAUGUCCAGAACUAAUGGUUGAGUGCUGAGUGAGCAAAAAUUGCAGUUUUGGUACCUGUAAAUUACUUACAAUAGGCAUUCUGCUAUUGAUCGUGUAUCUAUGAAGAAAGUUCAUCUAGAGGACCAGGAAGGAAGACCACUGGCUGAAGUAAAAGGCUGUCAGUUGGGCUGUUAUGGUGCCAAGGACGCAAGACGAUGGAAGGGGGCCGUGGAAUAGAAGACUGGAACCCUCAUAAAUCAGUGAGAUAGGUGUGUAGAUGUUAAUUGUUUUUCGUGUAAUUGAUGAAUAUGUACUAUCUGUUGAAAUAUCAUGGACUCUGAAUCACGUCAUCUUCUAUGGUGGAAAUAUCCGCAGUGCUUCUGGUGCUUCUGAUAAAGAAUACCUGACGUAAAGGUAA
Molecule: long non-coding RNA, 3005 nt
Organism: Gallus gallus (chicken)
Lineage: Eukaryota; Metazoa; Chordata; Aves; Galliformes; Phasianidae
Exons: 2
Source: RefSeq, a predicted model, not a curated record